CGUAACGCCAUCUGGAGGAUAGCUAGGCUCGGACGCUGAAGAAGGGCGCGGCAAGCCGCGAAAAGCCUCGGGUAGGUGCAUGCAACCUUAGAUCCGAGGGUGCCUGAAUGGGACUUCCCGCCAUAGCUUGACUAUGGCACUCCUCACUGGGAG
This 153-nucleotide ribosomal RNA is filed under the name uncultured marine crenarchaeote E37-7F. Its description in RNAcentral is "5.8S ribosomal RNA". It matches the Rfam family "Archaeal large subunit ribosomal RNA", at positions 13 to 158 of the family's 2987-position model. The record is from RNAcentral. Lineage: Archaea; Thermoproteati; Candidatus Bathyarchaeota.